GCGUUUGUAGCUCAAAUGGCAGAGCAGCCGCCUUGAUGAAGUUUUUGGCUUUCUAAGAGCGGCAGAUGUGCGAUCGAAACGCACCAAGCGCC
Molecule: transfer RNA, 92 nt
Filed under: Gluconobacter sphaericus
Lineage: Bacteria; Pseudomonadati; Pseudomonadota; Alphaproteobacteria; Acetobacterales; Acetobacteraceae
Description: tRNA-OTHER
Rfam family: tRNA
About the family: Transfer RNA (tRNA) molecules are approximately 80 nucleotides in length.
Source: RNAcentral